CUGUAGACCAGGCUGGCCUCGAACUCACAGAGAUCCGCCUGGCUCUGCCUCCCAAGUGCUGGGAUUAAAGGCGUACGCCACAACCGCCCGGUGUGGCAUCAUCUCUUCAUCUGUGUUUUGGUUGGUCUUUGAGCAGCUCUGAGAGGUCAUCUUGGAGAGACUAAGCGCUCUCUUAGGCUCAUUGAGAACUGGCUGUGAACUCUAGGCAAUUCAUAAGUACAUUGCAUUGCUCUUUGCAAAUCCAGGGUCUGCCCAAUACCCUAGAUGAUACCUCCACCAAGAUCCUGAUCCUCAAAAGCAUGAUGCUCCACUCCCUUUCCUGGGCUGUCCCAUUUACCCUGUUUGCAUCUCUCUGCAUCUGAACACCAUUGUAUAUUGUUUCUCUUUCUUCUGGAAAUUGGUGAGACAGUACACACCAAAAGUAGUUAAACAUUUUACAGUGGUGAGAUACCAUCCAUCUGCAAGUAGAACCUUUGUGUGAAAGUCUGGACUUGAAGGCUACAUUUUGGAAAAGUUGCCCACUGAGGGACAGUGACUUGUCCCCAGCCCUGCUGAGAGGUAGUGGCAUAGAUUCUGAAGGUAGAACUUCGGGAAACAAUGUGAAGAAGAAAACACUAAACUGGGUGGUACAUGACUGUAUCCUCAAUACUUAGUACUCCACAGCAGGAUGAUCAGUUUCGGGCCAGCUUGCGUUAUGCAUUGAGAAACAAUGUCAGACCAAAAGAACACUACCACCACAAAUCACUAGUCAUACUGGAUAGCAGAGUUAAUGCACCCACUGUAUACAAGUGGGAUAAGAAAACCCAAAGGCCUCCAAUCUGUAUCUAUCCUCGACUGCCCAAGGAUGAGGAUGUCAGAAUAAAGUGUCUCUCAAGUCUGUGAGAACUAGAGGUAAUGAGAUUGGCAUGGAAUCCAAGUGGAUGGGACAGCUCAGGUUGGAAGCCAGGAAUUACCUUCAUUCAUUUGUUUAUUCCAUCAUUCCUUCACGGCAUGUGCCAGACAUCAAGGACACAAAAGUCAGCAACCCAACAUACUGACCCACCUGCAGCUGGCAUUCUGCUGGGUAAUUAGACAAUAAGGUGAAAUAAAGUAAAUAAAUCAUCAAAUCUGUAGGUGGCACCAGAGGAGGUACCUGCUGGGGAGUGUUCACAGGGUGUGGCUGCCAUGUUCAUUGGGACCAUUGGGCAGUUGUAUUUGCAGUAGUUUGCAUGUGAAGUUUAGGUCAAAAUUGGUAAGUUCAUUUAUAGACCUGCAAGUUUACUAUUUCAAGUUGAUGAGGUUGUUAUUUUCUUGGUCCUGGAGAUUAAACCUAGAGCCUCCUGAUUACUUAGGCAAGCGCUCUACCUCAAUUAUUCCCCUGGUUCCUGACCUGUUUUGGGUGACUUUUAUUCUGAGAUAGGGUCUCCUUAAAUUGCUUAAGUUGGCCUUGUGAUCCUCUUAAGAGGAAGAGUAGCUUCCUGUAUAAUAGCUGGGAGUACAGGCCCAGGGUUACCAAACCCAUCAGACUGCUGCUGGGAAAAAGCCUGGAAGAGACGUAAGUUCUUGGUUCCCUUGUAUUCUGGUACUUACGGUUCAGGCUCACAGGUGCCAUUCCCACUGCCUUUAUGUGCGCGUGCGCGAGAGUCAGAACGGCUUUCUCAGACUGCGUGUAGCCGCGGCUGGAGCGCAGUACGGCUAGCGGUUGGAUGGCGCGGGGCGGAGCGGGGCGGGCAGCAGCCCUGGGCCUGGCGCUGCGGCUGCUGCUUUUGCUUGGGCUAGGCCUAGAGGCUGCUCCGGCCCCGGCCCCGGCCCCGACCCAAGUCCAGGUCUCUGGGCUGGUCACCUGGCACCUUCCUGCAGCAGGCCCCCGAGCUGGCUCAUGCCCGACAGACAACUUCCAGUGUAUUACCAAUGGCUACUGUGUGCCCCUCUCCUGGCGCUGUGAUGGGGACCCAGACUGCUCUGAUAGCAGUGAUGAGGAGGAGUGUAGGAUUGAGCCAUGUGCUCAGAAAGGGCAGUGCCAACCACUGGCUACCCUUCCUUGCUCCUGUGACAACAUCAGUGGUUGCCCUGCUGGCUCUGACAAGAACCUUCUCAACUGCAGCCGCCAGCCCUGUCAGGAGGGUGAGCUGCGUUGCAUGUUGGGCGAUGUCUGUAUCCCACACACAUGGCACUGUGAUGGCCACCCAGACUGUCCUGACUCCAGUGAUGAGCUCAGCUGUGACACCAACAUAGAAACUGACAAGAUCUUCCAAGAGGAGAAUGCCACAACUACAAGGACUCCUUUGACCCUGGAGAAUGAGACCUCUUUCAGGAAUGCAACAGUUGCCUCUGCUGGGAACCCUUCCCGAAACCCAAAUGCCUAUGGGGUUAUUGCAGCUGCUGGAUUCCCUAAAGAUCGCUUUGCCAACAAACAGCAGGAAGCAAUUUUAAGAAAACGACACCCACAUUCCCAAGAGACAUGUUGGCUCCUGGCAGCACCAAUCUACUUCAGAGAAGAUAUGGACAUUGAAGAAAAUUCAUAUGGAGCUAACUUUCAUUGUGGCCAAUAUUAGCCACUGGGCAAUAAAGUGCCCUUGUAUCAACUGCUGACAGUAUGCUAUCCAAAAUGGAUAAACAGGACACAAAAUAAAGGACUACAGAUCCUUACAAAACAAGUGAGGUUGUAGCUUUAACAACAGGUGUCCUCUGAGACCAGGACAAUAUGGCACCAUCACUGAAGUGGCUUUGCAAUCUGGAAAAGGUGAAUGAAAGCAUCUAGCUAAGGAAUCUGAAGACCACUGGACAAAUGAGACAUCUUGAGAAAGAGGACAAAUCAUCUAGAAAACUUGUCCCAGGAAAGAUUUUCUACAGUGAACAAUGACCACUUCUAAUGCAAUCUCUGAAGUCUCAAAAAACAUGUUGGGACCCCACCAUGAUGAUUCCACCAGGAUGAUGAUAAUACCACUAAGCUGAUAAACACCACUCAAAGAUUGGCUUUGGACUACAAACUGCUCAGGACAAUUUCGAGAUGGCUAGCUGAGGUGAUCCUCACAGAUUACAUGAGCAAGGACUUGAAACAAGUCCUGCAUCUUCCCCUUAUUCAGAGACUAGACAACAAGUGAUAAUAGCUACCUCUCCCAUGAUUGACAGUUAGCCCAAAAUUUUUCUUUUCAGGAUCCCCUAAAGAUGCCUUCACCUUCAGACAUCAGGAAGUAAUUUUAAGAACACAAUGCUCACAUUCCCAAGAGGUGGGGUGGGUGUGGCUUUUGGUCCUUCAAUGAGUUAUGGAUAAUUGUCAUUGUUUAGGAUGGUUGGUUACAAGCUGAUAUUGUUAAUGGUCAGGAAAAAGGCUAAACAAAGGAGAUUAGAUUUAAGAUUCUUGUUUGAAAAAAAAGAAAAGAAAAAAAGAGGAUAGAGGUAUGGUAAAAUAAAAGGUAGAUCAUUGAAUCUACUCUGAAAAGAAAGAUAUGGAAAUGAUGGAUAAAGGGUAGAUGAUUGAAUCUACUCUGAAAAGAAGAAAGAGAAUAUGGAUGUAAGAUAAAAAAAGGUAGAUUAUUGAAUCUACUUUUAAAAAGUAACUACUAGUUUUAAAUAUUGUACAUUGGAUUAGAUUUUUAUAUAUUGUAUACAAAUUUUAUAUAUUGAUACAAAUUUGAGAUUAAUUUUGUUAGAAAAUACUGUACAUAUAUUUAUAAUCUUUUUCAAGGUAUUGUACCUAUACAGCUCAUUUAACAAUGUAAUGCAAAUUCCUAGUCCUUGAAAGUUAUUAUUACCAACUAAUUAGAAAAAAGAAAUGCAAGUAAUUAUUUAGUUACCUAUUACAAUUGAAUUUGUAGUCAUAUUAGGUAUGUUUUCAAGGUCAAACAGAAAUAUAUUUUAGAUAGACAGGUCAUCUUAAAACACUUCAGAGGUCUACAGAAUCUGGCAUUUAAGAUAUUUUAAUAACAUAGAUUCUCUUUUUAUGACUAUGAGAUAUGUCUGCUCCUGGCAGCACCAAUCUACUUCAGAGAAGAUGAUGGGCAUUGAAGGAACUUCAUAUGGAAUUUACUUUCUUUGUGGCAAAAGUUAGCUGCUGGGCAGGAAAGUGCCCUUGCACUGACUGCUGACAGUAUGCUGUUCAAAAUGGACAAGCAUGACACAAAAGGACUGCUGAUCCUUGCCAAGACAAGGUUGGAAGGCUCUUUAGAAAAUCCUGCUUCACAGAUGAGUCUGUCAGAUAUGCUAAGCCUGUAGGCCAAAGAAUGGAUGCCCCAACAUUGCAGAGGAACCUUGGGUGACUGUCUAGGCAGCUGGAUGUUUCUGUCAUAACUCACAUGUUUUGGAAAUCGCUUGUUUGCACUUCCUGUUUAACUAGGUAAUAUUAUUUCCUUCUUGCAUCUCUGAGGGAGUUGAAGAUUAUAUAGUUCUAGUUCUAUUUUUCCUUGUUAACAAUUUUAGGAAAGAAACUAAAGAGGUGUAAAGUGUAUAAAUUUGAAAGACAUCAAAAGAUAAUUCUGGUAAUGCAAAUUAGGAUAGAAGGUAAAUUAGAUACAAUCCUUUGGAUUCACAAAGAUAGGAUAGAUAAUGGAAUAUUUUCUCUGAAUUUGUCAAAUGCAAAUAGACUAGACAUUUAUUGCCUGUGUAUAUUGUAUAUAGUUAUUGUACUUAUUGUAUAUGGUUUUUCCUAUAUUAGUUAUAACUUUUUAAAAUUUUGAACAAAAAAGGAGAAAUGAGGUGAUAUUUUAUUUGUGCUCUAAUAAAUAAAGCUUUCUUGGAAAUCAGAGGAAAAAGCCAGCCACUAUAUUAAACAUAGAAGUCAGGCAGUGGUAGCGCACACCUUUAAUCCUAGCAUUCGGGAGGCAGAGAUUCAUUCAGAUCUCUGUGAAUUCAAGGCCACACUAGGAACAGAGCCAGGUAUGGUGGCACAUACCUUUAAUUCCCAGCACUAGUUAACCAUAGAGGUCUGGAGGUCUGUACAGACAGACAGGAAGUGAUAGAGGUGGACAGAAAGAGGAAGUGAUGUAGCUGGGUGGAGAGAGGAAGUGAGAUGGCAGGGCACAGAAAGGAUAUAGGUGUGGGUAUACAAGAAGUAGCUCUCUCUGGAGGCUGAGGAGUUGGUAAGGUGAAGUUGGCUGUGGCUUGUCCUAUUCCUCUGAUCUUUCAGUUU
Peromyscus eremicus (cactus mouse) is the source of this 5107-nucleotide RNA transcript. It is a transcript of the gene named CD320 molecule, with no coding region annotated. The transcript has 8 exons. The record is from RefSeq and is a predicted model, not a curated record. NCBI's taxonomy places the organism in Eukaryota, Metazoa, Chordata, Mammalia, Rodentia, Cricetidae.